Prionailurus viverrinus (fishing cat) is the source of this 261-nucleotide long non-coding RNA. RefSeq lists it as uncharacterized. NCBI's taxonomy places the organism in Eukaryota, Metazoa, Chordata, Mammalia, Carnivora, Felidae. The transcript is spliced from 3 exons. The record is from RefSeq and is a predicted model, not a curated record.
CUGAUGUCUUAACAAGAAUGGAAAGAAUACUGAUUGUUAGUGGUUUUGAAUGAUACCUAGCUUCAAGCAAAGGUGCAAGAUGAGAAAAGAGGCUGUGGUGAGAAAAGAUUGUAACAGGACCUACUUAAAAGGAAGUGAAAACCUGAAGCCAGUGAAAUUAACUUCCUGCCAAUGUGGGGGACAAUGGCAGCAUGGAAAUGGAUACAAAGAAAGAACUUGUCACUUGGAGAAAUCCUGAUUGCAAGGCUAAGGCAGGAAAAG